AUGAUGAUUUAGAUAAUUUUGUUUAUGGUUAACACUGAAAAACAAUGUGGAUGCCAUUCUAGGGCGGUCUGAUUAU
Molecule: small nucleolar RNA, 76 nt
Organism: Tribolium castaneum (red flour beetle)
Lineage: Eukaryota; Metazoa; Arthropoda; Insecta; Coleoptera; Tenebrionidae
Rfam family: Small nucleolar RNA U43
Source: Rfam